ACGGAAGAAAGCAUGGUGCAGUGGCCAGCAGCACGGGCGUAGGUGCAAGGACAGACUGAGGUCUGGAGUUCGAGCUGUUGUACGCGCAAUGGGCUACCAAUUUUGCUGCUCAUGUGGGGGGGAGUUAGAGUUUGACCGAAACUCUUCUUAGCAGCAUGAUGAAGCGGUGGAUAAGGCUGCAGAUCAGUGGUUAGGAGUUUGAAUUAAAUUCAAACUUUGAAUUUGGCCAGGAAAUAGGGAGCUAAGGAAGGAAUUAAAAUUGGAA
Molecule: long non-coding RNA, 265 nt
Filed under: Gossypium barbadense (sea-island cotton)
Lineage: Eukaryota; Viridiplantae; Streptophyta; Magnoliopsida; Malvales; Malvaceae
Description: long non-coding RNA (GBAR_LNC001369)
Source: RNAcentral